AGAGUUUGAUCAUGGCUCAGAUUGAACGCUGGCGGCAUGCCUUACACAUGCAAGUCGAACGGUAACAGGGAGCUUGCUCCGCUGACGAGUGGCGAACGGGUGAGUAAUAUAUCGGAACGUGCCCUAGAGUGGGGGAUAACUAGUCGAAAGAUUAGCUAAUACCGCAUACGAUCUAAGGAUGAAAGUGGGGGAUCGCAAGACCUCAUGCUCGUGGAGCGGCCGAUAUCUGAUUAGCUAGUUGGUAGGGUAAAAGCCUACCAAGGCAUCGAUCAGUAGCUGGUCUGAGAGGACGACCAGCCACACUGGGACUGAGACACGGCCCAGACUCCUACGGGAGGCAGCAGUGGGGAAUUUUGGACAAUGGGCGCAAGCCUGAUCCAGCAAUGCCGCGUGAGUGAAGAAGGCCUUCGGGUUGUAAAGCUCUUUUGUCAGGGAAGAAACGGUGAGAGCUAAUAUCUUUUGCUAAUGACGGUACCUGAAGAAUAAGCACCGGCUAACUACGUGCCAGCAGCCGCGGUAAUACGUAGGGUGCAAGCGUUAAUCGGAAUUACUGGGCGUAAAGCGUGCGCAGGCGGUUAUGUAAGACAGAUGUGAAAUGCCCGGGCUUAACCUGGGAACUGCAUUUGUGACUGCAUAGCUAGAGUGUGUCAGAGGGGGGUAGAAUUCCACGUGUAGCAGUGAAAUGCGUAGAUAUGUGGAGGAAUACCGAUGGCGAAGGCAGCCCCCUGGGAUAACACUGACGCUCAUGCACGAAAGCGUGGGGAGCAAACAGGAUUAGAUACCCUGGUAGUCCACGCCCUAAACGAUGUCUACUAGUUGCCGGGUCUUAAUUGACUUGGUAACGCAGCUGACGCGUGAAGUAGACCGCCUGGGGAGUACGGUCGCAAGAUUAAAGCUCAAAGGAAUUGACGGGGACCCGCACAAGCGGUGGAUGAUGUGGAUUAAUUCGAUGCAACGCGAAAAACCUUACCUACCCUUGACAUGUCAGAGAGCUCGAAGAGAUUUGAGUGUGCUCGAAAGAGAAUCUGAACACAGGUGCUGCAUGGCUGUCGUCAGCUCGUGACGUGAGAUGUUGGGUUAAGUCCCGCAACGAGCGCAACCCUUGUCAUUAGUUGCUACGAAAGGGCACUCUAAUGAGACUGCCGGUGACAAACCGGAGGAAGGUGGGGAUGACGUCAAGUCCUCAUGGCCCUUAUGGGUAGGGCUUCACACGUCAUACAAUGGUACAUACAGAGGGCUGCCAACCCGCGAGGGGGAGCUAAUCCCAGAAAGUGUAUCGUAGUCCGGAUUGGAGUCUGCAACUCGACUCCAUGAAGUUGGAAUCGCUAGUAAUCGCGGAUCAGCAUGUCGCGGUGAAUACGUUCCCGGGUCUUGUACACACCGCCCGUCACACCAUGGGAGCGGGUUUUACCAGAAGUAGGUAGCCUAACCGCAAGGAGGGCGCUUACCACGGUAGGAUUCGUGACUGGGGUGAAGUCGUAACAAGGUA
RNAcentral lists this ribosomal RNA (1489 nucleotides) under metagenome. RNAcentral describes it as "bacterial SSU rRNA". It matches the Rfam family "Bacterial small subunit ribosomal RNA". The record is from RNAcentral.